This 253-nucleotide ribosomal RNA is filed under the name uncultured bacterium. RNAcentral describes it as "partial 16S ribosomal RNA". It matches the Rfam family "Bacterial small subunit ribosomal RNA", at positions 524 to 776 of the family's 1533-position model. The record is from RNAcentral.
UCCAGAGGUCCCAAUCGUUGUUCGGAAUCACUGGGCGUAAAGGGUGCGUAGGAGGCCGGGAAAGUCUGAUGUGAAAUCCCACCGCUUAACGGUGGAACUGCAUUGGAAACUGCCCGGCUCGAGGACCGGAGAGGAAAGCGGAAUUCCUGGUGUAGCGGUGAAAUGCGUAGAUAUCAGGAGGAACAUCAACGGCGAAGGCAGCUUUCUGGAAGGUUCCUGACUCUGAGGCACGAAGGCCAGGGGAGAAAACGGG